UGCUCCUGCUUCUAUCAGUUCC
This 22-nucleotide microRNA is filed under the name Saccoglossus kowalevskii. RNAcentral's name for it is "sko-miR-4838". Lineage: Eukaryota; Metazoa; Hemichordata; Enteropneusta; Harrimaniidae. The record is from miRBase by way of RNAcentral.